This 70-nucleotide transfer RNA is filed under the name Camelus bactrianus (Bactrian camel). It matches the Rfam family "tRNA". From Rfam's summary of the family: Transfer RNA (tRNA) molecules are approximately 80 nucleotides in length. Their secondary structure includes four short double-helical elements and three loops (D, anti-codon, and T loops). RNAcentral also lists the same sequence under 2 other names. Lineage: Eukaryota; Metazoa; Chordata; Mammalia; Artiodactyla; Camelidae. The record is from Rfam by way of RNAcentral.
GGAAACAGCUCAGUGGUAGAGUGUGUGCUUAGCAUGCACGAGGUGCUGGGUUCAAUCCCCAGUGCCUCCA